UCUAGUCUAGGUGGUGUUUGAUUUAGAGGAAAAGCUUGCAGAACCUGCAACAGUGAAGGCCAGUCCUUCCUAAGCCCCUGAGUGGGUUCUCGUUAAUGUCAGGUGCCCGUGGGCAGCUUUGGACCACCUAGCAUGAGCACCAGCUCAUUGCUGCCGGGACGGCAUAGUAUCCCAACAUCCAGAUGAUGUCAGACUCUUCUUUGUAAUAAUUUUUUCCACAUAGAAAUAUAAAUGGAAAUGGUUUUGUUGGUUUUUUAAUUAAUUUAUUUGUUUUUACUAUUUCCCUUUAAUCAAUGACCAAAGCUGUUAAAACUGUUUUAAGUCAUUUGACUAUUCUAGUUAUUUGUAGUUUAAGAAAAAAAGUAACCACCUUGGACUUGGUUACAUGUAGUGAUCAAGAUUCUUGGUAGCAACACCCUGAGCAAAGUACCUUUAUCUACCUUUGUUAAAGAUCAGUAUCUGAAAAUAACACUUUUUGGGGACCCUAGUGUCAUGUGAUCUCUGUU
This 506-nucleotide long non-coding RNA is filed under the name Bos taurus (domestic cattle). RNAcentral's name for it is "long non-coding RNA NONBTAT015312". Lineage: Eukaryota; Metazoa; Chordata; Mammalia; Artiodactyla; Bovidae. The record is from RNAcentral.